CCUACGGGAGGCAGCAGUGAGGAAUAUUGGUCAAUGGGCGGGAGCCUGAACCAGCCAAGCCGCGUGAGGGAAGAAGGUACAGCGUAUCGUAAACCUCUUUUGUCAGGGAACAAAGGCGGGGACUAGUCCCCGGAUGAGGGUACCUGAAGAAAAAGCAUCGGCUAACUCCGGGCCAGCAGCCGCGGUAAUCCGGAGGAUGCGAGCGUUAUCCGGAUUUAUUGGGUUUAAUGGGUGCGCAGGCGGCCUGUUAAGUCAGCGGUAAAAGCCCGGGGCGCAACCCCGGCGAGCGGUUGAAACUGGCGGGCUUGAGUUGGAGAGAAGUACGCGGAAUGCGCGGUGUAGCGGUGAAAUGCUUAGAUAUCGCGCAGAACCCCGAUUGCGAAGGCAGCGUACCGGCUCCACACUGACGCUGAGGCACGAAAGCGUGGGUAUCGAACAGGAUUAGAUACCCGAGUAGUC
Molecule: ribosomal RNA, 459 nt
Filed under: uncultured bacterium
Lineage: Bacteria
Description: partial 16S ribosomal RNA
Rfam family: Bacterial small subunit ribosomal RNA
Source: RNAcentral